CCAUUUAUCAUUUUCAUCAGCCCGUGAAGUCAUGCUAGCAGGAGGCGAAAUAUAAAUUAUUUUGAUAAUGAAACAUAUAUAAUUUUUAAAUAAAAUUUCUUAGAUGAUUUAUAAAUGUGGGUAGUGAUUUAAUUUUAAAGUAUACCUAUCCCAAUUAUCAGAAAUAUCUCCUGUGGUUCUCCAGCUAUUGCCAACUUCAUUUGCCCAAGUUGCAGGAUCAUCUCGGCCCC
This is a long non-coding RNA of Helianthus annuus (common sunflower), 230 nucleotides long. RefSeq lists it as uncharacterized. The record is from RefSeq and is a predicted model, not a curated record. Lineage: Eukaryota; Viridiplantae; Streptophyta; Magnoliopsida; Asterales; Asteraceae. The transcript has 2 exons.